RNAcentral lists this ribosomal RNA (986 nucleotides) under Loxosporopsis corallifera. RNAcentral describes it as "SSU rRNA". It matches the Rfam family "Eukaryotic small subunit ribosomal RNA", at positions 75 to 1071 of the family's 1831-position model. The record is from RNAcentral. Lineage: Eukaryota; Fungi; Ascomycota; Lecanoromycetes; Pertusariales; Pertusariaceae.
UAUACGGUGAAACUGCGAAUGGCUCAUUAAAUCAGUUAUCGUUUAUUUGAUAGUACCUUACUACUUGGAUAACCGUGGUAAUUCUAGAGCUAAUACAUGCUGAAAACCCCGACUUCCGAAGGGGUGUAUUUAUUAGAUAAAAAACCAAUGCCCUCCGGGGCUCCGUGGUGAUUCAUAAUAACUNAACGAAUCGCAUGGCCUUGCGCCGGCGAUGGUUCAUUCAAAUUUCUGCCCUAUCAACUUUCGAUGGUAGGAUAGUGGCCUACCAUGGUGUCAACGGGUAACGGGGAAUUAGGGUUCUAUUCCGGAGAGGGAGCCUGAGAAACGGCUACCACAUCCAAGGAAGGCAGCAGGCGCGCAAAUUACCCAAUCCCAAUUCGGGGAGGUAGUGACAAUAAAUACUGAUAGCGAAUUCUUUCGGAUUUGCAAUUGGAAUGAGUACAAUUUAAAUCCCUUAACGAGGAACAAUUGGAGGGCAAGUCUGGUGCCAGCAGCCGCGGUAAUUCCAGCUCCAAUAGCGUAUAUUAAAGUUGUUGCAGUUAAAAAACUCCUAAUUGAACCUUGGGCCUGGGUGUUCGGUCCGCCUCACCGCGUGCACUGGUUCGGCCGGGCCUUUCCUUCUGGGGAGCCGCAUGCCCUUCACUGGGUGUGUCGGGGAACCAGGACUUUUACUUUGAAAAAAUUAGAAUGUUCAAAGCAGGCCUAUGCUCGAAUACUUUAGCGUGGAAUAAUAGAAUAGGACGUGCGGUUCUAUUUUGUUGGUUUCUAGGAACGCCGUAAUGAUUAAUAGGGAUAGUCGGGGGCAUCAGUAUUCAAUUGUCAGAGGUGAAAUUCUUGGAUUUAUUGAAAACUAACUACUGCGAAAACAUUUGCCAAGGAUGUUUUCAUUAAUCAGUGAACGAAAGUUGGGGAUCGAAAACAAUCAGAUUCCGUCGUAUUCUUAACCAUAAACUAUGCCGACUAGGGAUCGGACGGUGUUACAUAUU